This 147-nucleotide unclassified non-coding RNA is filed under the name uncultured Fusidium. RNAcentral describes it as "sequence contains ITS1". Lineage: Eukaryota; Fungi; Ascomycota; Sordariomycetes; Hypocreales; Nectriaceae. The record is from RNAcentral.
UAGAGUUGUAAAACUCCCAAAACCCAUGUGAACAUACCUGUUGCCUCGGUGGCCUACCCGGUAGCUACCCUGUAGUUACCCUGUAGUCCGCCGAAGGACCAUAAACUCUUGUUUUUUAAUAUCUCUGAGUCAACUAUAAAUAAGUUA